This 1369-nucleotide long non-coding RNA is filed under the name Manacus vitellinus (golden-collared manakin). Its description in RNAcentral is "lncRNA (ENSMVIG00005004778.1)". The record is from RNAcentral. Lineage: Eukaryota; Metazoa; Chordata; Aves; Passeriformes; Pipridae.
CCUGUUAAAAUCAAGUUGAUGUGCGUGUGCUCCACUCAGCGGAGAACUCGCCGGAGAUGGAGCGAUUCCUCUGCACUCUGGAAGAAGAGACAAGAGCACGCUCUGGAAGCCUUUAUGAGGAGGCUUUUAGAAGCCAUUUUGAAAAGCCAGUCGUUAUCCUUCGGUGUUUUGGAAGUCUGGACUGGACCUCCCAGGUGAUAUUAGGAUUGACACCACACCCGUUUUAUGGCGGGCGGCUGCACAGCCUCCAUCCCGCCGCGUGACACGGGAACACAUGUCCCUGUCUGCAGGGAGGAAGGAAUGAGCCAUAUCCACUGGUCACACCCCAGGUGAGCCACACCCCAGGUGAGCCACACCUGCACUUUGAGGCUUGAUUUGAGCUGUUUUACCGCUGCCUAUCAACCUUGUUCCUAUUGCAGCUGUACCAGCUGGACUGGGGUGUGCGAGGCUGCGGUGCCCUGCAGGUGCCCUGGAGCUGCAGCAUCGUCCUUGGAGGCACACACUGGAGCACCUCCAGUGCUGCUGGUGACACAGGAGGCGCAGGGAGACACAGUGUUGAGCCUCAACCAGAAGCACCAACAUCAGAGAUCAUAGGGAUUCUUAAUCAACUGAACUGAUCCUAUGAAUUUUUCACCAGUUCUGAGGCUCUGGACCACCCUAUCCAAUACUACAGGUCUCAGUUCUCUCCUCUGUGCAUCACUCUCCUACUCACAGUGAGUUUUAAGGGAAGCCAAGUGUGACCUUGGGUCACACAGCUUGGGAAAGGGUUUGCAGAGCAUGUUCUAGAGUGACAUUUGGUCCCCAGGGAGGCCUGUGAGUUGCCAAACUCCUCCUGGGUGAUGGAGUUCCCUGCACUAUGUCAGCCAACACCCCCACAUGUUCUGAGCAGAUGCAAAACAUGCUCUAAUGGACAUGAGGAACUGUUCUCUGAGUUACCAAUUGCGAAUGCAAGGAUGGGUUUCACUUCUGCUCUGGGAACAAGUGGGACUCGCCAGUAGUGCAAAGCAUGUCACUGUGGUGACCCUCUGUGUGAUAAUUCUCUAAGGAGUGGCAGUCCCAUGGAAACACCGUGUUCUGCUCUGCCCUGACCUGCCCCAGGGAGCUGAGGGUACCUGGGGACAUGGCUCAGUGGUGGCCUUGGCGGCGCCGUGAGUGAACCUUUGGACUGGGUGAUAUCAGAGGGCUUUUCCAACCUAACCCAUCCUGUGAUUCCGUGAUUCCAUGACUCUCUCUGAGGACACGCUGCUGUUUCCCACGUGGCUGUGCACAGAUGUUGCCAGGUGUCCCCUGCCAGCCGGGCCCUGGCACCUCAGCUCACCAGGAAUGAGAGAAGGUGACAGAAUAAAAGUAGAGGGAAACCAGUUGGUCA